RNAcentral lists this ribosomal RNA (458 nucleotides) under uncultured bacterium. RNAcentral describes it as "partial 16S ribosomal RNA". It matches the Rfam family "Bacterial small subunit ribosomal RNA", at positions 338 to 795 of the family's 1533-position model. The record is from RNAcentral.
CCUACGGGGGGCAGCAGUGAGGAAUAUUGGUCAAUGGGCGAGAGCCUGAACCAGCCAAGUCGCGUGAGGGAGUACUGCCCUAUGGGUUGUAAACCUCUUUUGUCGGGGAGCAAAAGCCGGACGUGUCCGGCUGUGAGAGUACCCGAAGAAAACGCAUCGGCUAACUCCGUGCCAGCAGCCGCGGUAUUACGGAGGAUGCGAGCGUUAUCCGGAUUUUAUGGGGUUAAAGGGUGCGCAGGCGGAUUUUUAAGUAAGCGGGAAAAUCGUGGGGCUAAACCCCAUCCAGCCGUUGAAACUGGGGAUCUAGAGUGUGCGAGAGGUAUGCGGAAUGCGUGGUGUAGCGGUGAAAUGCAUAGAUAGCACGCAGAACCCCGAUUGCGAAGGCAGCAUACCGGUGCACAACUGACGCUCAGGCACGAAAGCGUGGGUAUCGAACAGGAUUAGAUACCCUUGUAGUC